Long non-coding RNA from Fukomys damarensis (Damara mole-rat), 655 nucleotides. RefSeq lists it as uncharacterized. Lineage: Eukaryota; Metazoa; Chordata; Mammalia; Rodentia; Bathyergidae. The record is from RefSeq and is a predicted model, not a curated record. The transcript is spliced from 5 exons.
GCAGGUGGCAGAACCACUGAGUUAAAUCCCCAGCCCAAACUAGAAUCUUGCGUCACUUGUCCCUUGGCAUCCAGGAAGAAUGGAUUUCAGGAGCCCUCAAGACAUGGAAUUGCAAGUUUCCUGGUCACAGGCUCAGUUUAAGAGGCACUGGAGGUAACCAUUCUUUUCAAGUGACCUGUGACCACCUGAAAAGGCUCCUGCUGUCAGUUGGGUGGAUGCUCCCUUCACGCCUCCUCAGCUAUUGGGCACCUCUCCUGUGCUCAGAAUACUCCAAGCUGUGCCCUGAAGAAGGCUGCAGCCUCACGAUCAAAUGCACCACCCACGGGCCUGAGUUGAAUUUGCAUCUUCCAAACUCAGGCAACGACAAUCACAUACAGUCAUCGCAGUGGGCUGGAGUUGUUGAGAUGGUCAAGAAGACUGAAUGGCACUGCUGCUUCCCUGGGGGAUGUGACAGUUGUGCUGACUUCUUCAAAGUCGAUGCCACGCCUAGAUUGGGAUCCAGCCCACGGAUUUUCCAUUGACUCAUUUUGAGGACCACGAGCUCAUUUUCUGGCACACACUGUGCCUUCACAUUCAGAGAUACAUACACAUGAACCAAUAGCAUCUUCAAUUUUUAGUUAUCAAAAGCCCUUUACUUCCAAAAUAGCACUAAAUG